GACGAACGCGGGGGGCGUGCUUAACACAUGCAAGUCGAACGGGCCUGCCUGGCUUUGGUUGGGUGGUGAGUGGCGAACGGGUGAGUAACACGUGAGUAACCUGCCCUCUUCUCUUGGAUAACUGCUUGAAAGGGCGGCUAAUACGGGAUGUUCUGGCUGCCUCGCAUGGGGUGGUUUGGAAAGAUUCGGCCUGGUUUUGGUUGUUUUGGUGGGGGAUGGGCUCGCGGCUUAUCAGCUUGUUGGUGGGGUGAUGGCCUACCAAGGCGGUGACGGGUAGCCGGCCUGAGAGGGUGGACGGUCACACUGGGACUGAGACACGGCCCAGACUCCUGCGGGAGGCAGCAGUGGGGGAUUUUGCACAAUGGGCGCAAGCCUGAUGCAGCGACGCCGCGUGAGGGAUGGAGGCCUUCGGGUUGUGAACCUCUGUCGCCGGUGAUGUAGGCUCUGCUUUGUGGGUGGGGUUGACG
This 467-nucleotide ribosomal RNA is filed under the name Actinomyces sp. oral taxon 448. RNAcentral describes it as "bacterial SSU rRNA". It matches the Rfam family "Bacterial small subunit ribosomal RNA", at positions 28 to 474 of the family's 1533-position model. Lineage: Bacteria; Bacillati; Actinomycetota; Actinomycetes; Actinomycetales; Actinomycetaceae. The record is from RNAcentral.